GACGAACGCUGGCGGCGUGCUUAACACAUGCAAGUCGAACGGAAAGGCCCUGCUUUUGUGGGGUGCUCGAGUGGCGAACGGGUGAGUAACACGUGAGUAACCUGCCCUUGACUUUGGGAUAAGUUCAGGAAACUGGGGCUAAUACCGGAUAGGAGCUCCUGCUGCAUGGUGGGGGUUGGAAAGGUUCGGCGGUUGGGGAUGGACUCGCGGCUUAUCAGCUUGUUGGUGGGGUAGUGGCUUACCAAGGCUUUGACGGGUAGCCGGCCUGAGAGGGUGACCGGCCACAUUGGGACUGAGAUACGGCCCAGACUCCUACGGGAGGCAGCAGUGGGGAAUAUUGCACAAUGGGCGGAAGCCUGAUGCAGCAACGCCGCGUGCGGGAUGACGGCCUUCGGGUUGUAAACCGCUUUCGCCUGUGACGAAGCGUGAGUGACGGUAAUGGGUAAAGAAGCACCGGCUAACUACGUG
Molecule: ribosomal RNA, 468 nt
Filed under: uncultured bacterium
Lineage: Bacteria
Description: partial 16S ribosomal RNA
Rfam family: Bacterial small subunit ribosomal RNA
Source: RNAcentral